Molecule: ribosomal RNA, 468 nt
Filed under: uncultured bacterium
Lineage: Bacteria
Description: partial 16S ribosomal RNA
Rfam family: Bacterial small subunit ribosomal RNA
Source: RNAcentral
GACGAACGCUGGCGGCGUGCUUAACACAUGCAAGUCGAACGGAAAGGCCCUGCUCUUGUGGGGUGCUCGAGUGGCGAACGGGUGAGUAACACGUGAGUAACAUGCCCUUGACUUUGGGAUAACUUCAGGAAACUGGGGCUAAUACCGGAUAGGAGAUCCUGCUGCAUGGUGGGGGUUGGUAAGUGUCGGCGGUUGGGGAUGGAAUCGCGGCUUAUCAGCUUGUUGGUGGGGUAGUGGCUUACAAAGGCUUUGACGGGUAGCCGGCCUGAGAGGGUGACCGGCCACAUUGGGACUACGAGACGGCCCAGACUCCUACGGGAGGCAGCAGUGGGAAAUAUUGCACAAUGAGCGGAAGCCUGAUGCAGCAACGCCGCGUGCGGGAUGACGGCCUUCGGGUUGUAAACCGCUUUCGCCUGUGACGAAGCGUGAGUGACGGUAAUGGGUAAAGAAGCACCGGCUAACUACGUG